AUUAAACUGAAAGUACAGUUAAAAUAAAAAAUGAUUAGAGUUAUCUCCCCUUGCAUAUUUUAAGGAAGUAUAUGGAAACAAAAUAAAGUAACUACAUCUAUAUCAAGUAAGUUAAUUAUCUCCCUUUAAAUAUUUCAGAUCACGAAUAUCUUCCUUUAUGCACAUUCUAUGGUCAUGUACUUCAACUGUGUAAAGUUUCAUUAAUAUUGCUACAGUCAUUUAGGAGGAGUUGUGCUUA
Molecule: long non-coding RNA, 238 nt
Filed under: Mytilus galloprovincialis (Mediterranean mussel)
Lineage: Eukaryota; Metazoa; Mollusca; Bivalvia; Mytilida; Mytilidae
Source: RNAcentral